AUAUUACUGCACAGAAUAUAGAGAGCACAACAUAUAAACAACAGAUUUAUCGAAUACAAUAGAAGAUUAGUCUCCGAAUACAAUUCGUCAUAUUAGUCUACGAAUUUAAAAUACCGAACAAAGUUAGAACAUUACAAGUCUCGAGACCGCGAGUAGCGAGUUUGUCUUCACAUUACAAGUCGAUAUCGAUCAUCUAAACUAUCAUCACAUAGAAGAGAGCUGCGGGCAUCACUACCAUCAGUGGUGGCAUCCUCGGCGGCACCAUCGGUGGUGUCAUCCCCGAUGUCACUAGGGGUUGUGUAGUCGGGAUCGGUCUCUUCCGCGGCGUCCUCAUAGCGGUGAGGUUCUUCCUCCAUCUCCUGGGAAAGCUCCUAGAAUGCCUUGCCUGAACCGCCGGCCUCAUCGUUGUGGGCCAUGUUUCGCUCUAAAUAGGAAAAAAGUUUGGUCAAAAAGUUGGUUAUUGUCAAGGAACAAGAUCAUGGUCUCAUCAUUUAGGGUUUGUUGACACUGAUGCAUCCUAAAAGCUAAACUUUUAUCAUUUAGGGUUUGUCGAUGCCGAGGCACCCUAAAAGCCUAAGGUUUCAUCAUUUAGGUUUUUAUCGACACCGAGGCACCCUAAAAGCCAAGGUUUUAUAAUUUAGGGUUUGUCGACACCGGACCAUAGGGACAACAAGACAAGCCUUGUGGACGGACAUGCAAUAGGGUGUAGACAUCAGAAUAUGGAUUGCACAAAUAAAUGGUGCAUGCACUGGAAAAAGGAGCCCAACACAGAAUUGCAAUUACAUCCUCAAGCAAGAUGAUUAUCAGUCACAAUAACACAAGUCCGCCACCACACAUCCAAACAAUAAAUCGCCAACGGCUCGAUUACCAGCCGUUAUGUAUCUCCUGAUUGUGAGUGUGUGUGUGUGUGUGAGAGAGAGAGAGAGAGAGAGAGGUUAUGUAUGUCCUGAUUGUUCUACUUGUUAACAAAAGACUAUGCAAAAGUUAAAGAAAACUUAAAAAAAAAUUAGGCAUAUAAAACAUAGCAGUAUAUGUUCAUGUUCCUGAGCCAAUGAGUAAGCUAGUGUAGAUUAGGAGCCCCCUGGAUUUUUUAUAGUAGAAUAAAACUACAAUUUUUCUUCUCCAAUUUAUGCCUUUUUUCGACUAAUCACCAACCAAUACGGUCAAAUAGAAUGGCGAUGUUCAUAGAAAUUUAUCUAAUCGCGACAACAUAACAAGUAAGCUAUGUACAUGGCACGAAGGGGAAGAGGCAUCCCUGGGCCGUCUAGGAUCUACAGGCCGUCGGGGGCGGGGGGGGACUACCACAGCAGGGAGCUCCCAAUCUUCUGUUCCAGGUGUAGCUUCACUUGUGUGCAAUUACAAACGUAAUUUUCUUCAUGGGUCGCUCGAGUUAAUCAAUCAGCGGGAGGAAGAUUGCAAUUUAAAAGGAUCCUCAGGUCAACCAACAAAAGUUUGCACAGGGAACGAAACAUGCAGCAACAUUAUAGCUACACACAGACUGAUUCAGGAGUAUGGUGCUACAAGAGACACAAUUGCUGAAAAGAAAAGAUCCAGUAUCCGUCGAAAACAUCAGGAUUCAGGAAACGCCCAACCAACGUGGCCUCACAUAUGCAAAACAUAUAUUUCUGUCCAAUUUAAGUAGGGUAGCAGGCGGCCAUCAUGCACGUAUAUGAAGAACAUAAGUACUAAUAUGUAGAGAGUGAGAGAGAGAAGACACUGCAUAUCAAAUAUAUGUUCUUGCUCCUGAGAAAACUAGUAAGCUGGAACAGAUUAAGAGCCUUGUCCACUUUGUUUCCUAUGCGGUCCUGGUUGGUCGAAUACAGGUCAAUUUCCUUGUCCCAUAUGUCAGACAGAUUUGUGAACGUGUCUCGGCGAGUAACAUCAUACACUGGAAAACGGACGAGGCAUUCAUUAAGUGGCAUCUCUCAAAAUUAGAUAGCGCAUUAGAUAUAACCCAACAAGAAACACACAAGUGAAAGAAACAGAAAAAAGGCUUUGGCUCCCUGUGUAGUGAAUGACUCCUAAUAAGUUAACCAAAGCCAGAAAGAGAGUUGUACUUUUCUAUGAUGAAGUAGGGUCAACAGUUGUAAGUUCUAUGAUAAUGAUACAGUAGGCUCGGCAGUUUUUAAAAAAUAAAAAAGCCUGAAAAGGUAACACUAUAGAUGAAGUGAUUUUCUUUCAGGAAAGUCAAGCUGACCUGCUUAAUCAUGUAUGUAUAACUGAAAACACAACCAUCUAAGGCGAUGUGUAGUUCACCAAUGUAAGGAAAUUGAUAGAAUAGUUUAUUAUCAACAAUAGCCUAGUUGAUGUGGCAUCAAGUUCUAGCAAUGUAGGACAAGGAGAAGAAAGGAGUAUGACACGGCCUUCAAUAGUGCAAACAGAAGUGUGAAGAGAAAUAAUUACCCAUGAUGAUCCCUUGUGCCCCUCUGUAGUAAGAGUUGGUCAAGGUCCUAAACCUUUCCUGUGUACGAUGGUUAAGCCAGAGGAAAUUGGAGUUGCCCCUCAAGGUUGUCGGAGUUGCAGCUCUCACUGUCUCGCUGCCAACACUAGGUAAUUAACAACGCCUCCUGCACCAAGCACCAUGCAUGAAGAAUUAGUUGUCCGUCGGUAACUAAGUGAUUCUCCACUGCCUUCUCUUCAUUUUUUCCAUUGUCAACUUGAUCAUGCAGGGUCAGUGAUUUUUCGCAUGGACAACAAGUCCUAGUUAGGGACGAUAUGGAUCAUGGAUGCAAGUUCUGGAACCUUUCAACCUUGGUCUGGCAGGAUAGUGAAGCUGAACAGCAGCAUGUCAUGACUCAUGACUGCAGCUUGCUGCGGGUUUGGGAUAUGGUUUUUAUAGGAUUAAGUAAGCGGUUUUGUACAAGGUGUGUCUGUAUAAAUAUAUUCUAAAUAUGUCCAGUGUGAUCAUCUUUUUCUAUGGGCAACCAUGUCUAUCAGGUAAAGCUUCAAUAAUUGAAAGAACGUCAGAAAAAUCUGGAAGCUAAGCUGAUGACAGUGGCAGCGAUACAUGAAGUAUUCAGACAAUAGACAUUUUGCUUCGGAGAUAUUUGGAUCUCAAAUUGAAUAGUAUAUAUAUAUGUGGUUCAAGACAGAACGUUGUCGACCUACUUGUGGUGAUAAGUGCUCUGAACUAUCACAAUAGACAUUGAAGCCUCUUCUCCGAAAUGAACAAACACUGGAGCCAUUAGGAACAUCACAAUCAUCGCAAUACAGGUAUGUUGCAAAAUAAGUGAAGGAAUCGGAAUUGAGUACAUGGUUGGAUUUCAUAACCCUGGCGGCUACGUACCGAGGAGUUCAAAAUAACUUCGCUUGGCAUAUAACAACAGUAGCAAUACUUGGCCUGGUGGAUUUGGAAGCUGCAGGGAACACAAUCAUCUUUGACUAUGAGCAAUGGAAUAUGUAAUAGAUGCUUCAGAUAUGUUGAAUAUCAAACAUAAUAUGUGGCGGUUCAGGAAAGAUGAAAAAACAUGGCGUUGUCAAUCUAAGACGGUUGAAUCCCAGCCCAGGGCAAGGAGAAAUUAAUAUUAAUAACCAAAUAAAGAAAGAAAGAAAGAAUUGGAGGUUGAAAAAGAGAAAGAGAGGGGAUGCACCAUUGUCCCAGACGGCGAGCUUAAGCUUCUUGCCGGCAAUGUUAACCAUCUUGACCUUGAAGUCGACGCCUACAAGCAGGAAUAGAUGCACUUCCCUUAGGGUUAGGUAGGUAGGUCUGAUUGGAUUUGAAAGAAAGAAAGGAAGAAAGAAACCAUUGCUCAGCAGAGACAGAUUAGAGCACCAUGGGUUGUACUGAAAGAGGAUGUAUGUUUCAUGAUAAAAGAAAUCUACUCACGUGCAUGACCAUCUAGAAGUUUAUUAGCAAUUAAAUCAAUGAUACCGCCCAUAAUGCUGCAUCGGAUAACCAAGAUGGAAUCGUUUAAAUGCUAAUGGACAACACAUGUCUUGCUGGUUGAAAAAAACAAGAUGUACUUCUGUACUGGAAGUCUGUAACCUUGAAAAAUCUAAAAUAGUGGUCGACUUGAGCAGCUCUAAUCCCACAGAGAAUGUUAUAGACUAAAUCCCUUCCACAAAUGGCUUAUCAUCGACAGGAAGUUUUUAACUUAACAUGGCAUUGUAUAAACAAAAAGGCAGCAACAGAUGGUUGCGGGAUAUGUAUAACAUGUCCAGAAUAACCUCCAUAGUCCUUGUGUUCAGGGUCAACAUAGGAAUCAGGGAGCACAAAAAGAACACCAGGAAUACCUGCAGAACAAACCAACAGAUGUAUUUAGACACACACACACCCUACCAGAAGGAGAAACAGGACAGGUUAGCUCAGACGAACCUUCAAGCUUGUUGGAUGUCUCUUCAUCAAUCUCACACCCGAACCCAAAGUAGCGCUCACACGAGACGUUGUAAAUCUUCUUCUUGGCCUCCUCCUCGCUGCCACAGAAUGCAAAGAUGGAACAAUAUCAGCUUAUCAGGCUUACAUAAACAAUACUCGACAGAAACUACCACGAAACUAGUCAUCCAACCCAAACAAGACACAAGUUUGCUGAAACCAUGCACUUGACGGCAGGCAGACAUGUCCACAAGAUACAUGGACCAGGGAUUGCGCCAAAAAUGGACACUGGUAAUAAGCUAACAGAGGCAAGCAGUUUCAGUACAUCUUGUCUAAGACAUUAUAACUACAUCGGAGACUGGCCGAUCGACGCUGUCAUGAAAGCAUCGUUCAUAAUUAGAUGCAGCAGCAGCAGCAGGCAGGUAGCGGUGAGGGGUGCAUGGAGGGUGGGGAGUACCUUCCGAGGACCUUGGCGAGGGUCUGUAUGUAGCAGUCGAUCAUCUGGUGCUUGGAGGUGCCCUCGCCGCCGGGCUUCUCCAUGACGAUGAGCUAGUACUUUCAUGUGGAUGUUGUGGCUGAGACGCCCGUGCCGGGAAGCCAACGCGUCGUGCUGUCCACGCCGUUCAACGUCGCACGUAGCUACCUCGCUUGUCACCCGCGUGCUCGUGCGCUGCCGCCGCCGCCCCGUCACGCGCUCGCACUAAUCAACACUUUGUAUCUGACAGCUACCUAUUUAUCUAAAUAAAAUGUAGCUCUUGACAACAAGUAUUUAUCCAUCUCCAAUUCACGCGUCAGUCACAUUGUGAGCAAAUAAUAAGAACAACAUUGCAAUUAGCAUUGACAGGAAUUUGGUAAUUGAUUUAGAACAGAGCGCAAGGGAGUAACACAUGUCCAGAACUCAAAAUGAAAUCCGGAUGAGCAGAAAAGGAUUAUGAUCGGUACCUCUGUAUAGGUCCACGGCUGUGGCUGCCCAGGAUGAGCAGAUCAACAUUCAACUUGUCUGCAGCUUGACAUAUGGUUUCCUUGGGAUCACCCACCUCGAUGACGAUCUCUGCAUCAACCUACGCACAAAAUACCCGACGAAUUAAUCUCCUGAACCAAGAUCCAGUUCCACCCCCAAAUUAGUAGUAAUUCUCAGAGCCAUCGCCGCGCCCAUUGACCGGAUCGGGGAAGAAAUUAGGCGAGCAAGAGAGCGAAUCACAUACCCCGUGGUGUUCGCAGAUGGCCUUGGCCUUGUCGACAAGCGCCUGGGCGAGCUGCCGUUGGUGCUCGGUCACGGACCUAAUGAGCUCCGGCGACGCCACCGACGGGCCAACUGCUCCUUCAGUAAAAGUCAGCAGUGCGAUUCAGCUAGUCUGUCCUCGAGAAGCAGCGGGAGCGUGACGGGGCGGUGGCGGCAGCGCACGAGCACGCGGGAACGGCGUCGACACGACGUGGAGCUCUGUAGCUAACCCUAGGUCGUCAGCCCCCCUUGGGCCAUGGGGACGAGCGGGAGAGGGAGGGAGGGGGAGGAGAAGGGAAGGAGACUAACCCAGGGGCCGCGCGGGGAGGUACCCGACGCCGUCGAGGAGAGCGUCCGACGAGGCUCGCCGCCGACGAAGCGCCCGCCGCUGGGAGGGAGAGAAGGAGAAGGGGAGGGAUACGGGGGAGAGCCAGCUCGAGUUGGUCGAUACGGGCACAGGGGCCGCACGGGGACUGGCAUGGGGAUUUUAGCGGGGGUGAUAGCAAUGGCGCAUCCUAGGGGGUGCGUCAUCAGUGAUUUNNAAAAAAAAAAAAAAAAAAAUUAUAGUAGUGGCGCACCAUCUAAAAAUUCGCCAUUAGUAACCCUGGUUACUAAUGACGCAUCAGUUGGUGGUGCGCCAUUAGUAGUUUUGUAAAAAAAAAUUAUAGUAGUGGCGCACUAGGUGAGUAGUGCGCCAUUACUAGUUAAACUAGUAAUGGCGCACUCUGCCCCGGUGCGCCAUUAGUACUUUUAAAAAAAAAGUUAUAGUAGUGGCGCACCGAGUGUGUGGUGCGCCAUUAGUGUCCAUCACACUAAUGGCACACCUGCACAUGGUGCGCCACUGCUAUAUAGUAGUGGCGCACUACUUGUCUCGUGCGCUAUUAGUGUCUAUAUCAUCUAUAGCCCUUUUCUUAGUAGUGCUAGUCAAGUUCACCCUACACAUGCAUAUCUAAGAGUGUAAUAGCGAAAAGUAAAGACAUGCAAAUUUAAUGUAGAGGGUAGGGUUGGAAGAUCAAAUGCAAAGGUUGACACAACGAUUUUUAGCGCGGUUCCGAUAGGUGGUGUUAUCGUACAUCCACGUUAGUGGAGACUUCACCCCACGGAGGGUAAAGGUUGCGACAGUCCACGGAGGGCUCCACGCACAAGGGGUCCAAGAAGAAGGGCCCCUAUCUAUUCCACCAUGGCUUACGUCCACACAGGACUAGCCUCACUCACGGUAGAUCUUCAUGAAGUAGGCAAUCUCCUUGCCCUUACAAACUUCUUGGUUAAACUCCACAACACAAAGAGGAGGCUCCCAAGCAACCCCUAACCAAUCGAGGAGGCACCACUCUCCAAAGGUAAUAGAUGCGGUAGAAUGAUGAACUCCUUGUUCUUGUGCUUCAAAAGAUAGUCUUCUCAACACUCAGCCACUCGCUCACAGAUUUGGCAUGGGUAGGAGAGAUUGAUCUUGUGUAAAGAAACUUGGGGACACUAGAGAUCAAGUUUUAAAUGGUUGGAUUGGAAUCUAUUGAUCACAACACAUGGUAGGUGUCUCUCUCAGAAAAAUGGAUUUGGCAAGUGUAAGUGCGUUCUGAGUGCUUCCUCUACAAAUUAGAGGAGGUGGAGGGGGAAUAUAUAGGCAUACCCCCCAAAUCCAACCAUUACAACAUUAUUACCCAACUUGGUGAGACCAAAAAGAAUCUCGGUGGUAUCGAGUUGCACUAAAUGUGGCAACUUCUGAAUUCUUGGUGAGACCGAUAUGUGAAUCUUGGUGGUACCGAUACGAUGACCUACACUAGUUUCCAAAUCUUGGUGAGACCGAUUCCAUUCUUCCGAUUCCUGGAAUUUUCUCAGCAGAAAGUUGGUCACUGAAUCUUGGUGGCACCGAUAUGAAAGUUGGUGGUAUUGAGAGAUUAGGGUUUUCCAAAGGAUCUGUCUCGUGGAAAAUCGGUGGGGCCAAGUGGAAAAAGUUGGUGGCACCGAUUUUUGUAGUUUGGCUUUGGACAAAGAUAUAUUGUGGGAGAAUAGAUGAGUAUUUUUGGUGGAUACCUCUAAGCACUUGAUCAACAAAUUCAUCAUAAUACCUCACCCCAUUUUAAUAGUAUUGGCUUUCCUAUGGAAUCGAAGUGAUUUCUCAUAAAUGUAAAAUGUAGAGUCUUCUUGCUUGAAGCUUGAGCCAAUCCUAUUCCUUCCUUCAUCAAAGGGUUUCUCCUCACAAUCCUCUAGCCAAGGCAUCUUUGAACUUUUCUGAAAUAUACUUGGAUAAGAUCAUUAGUACAAUGAUGCAUAUGUUGUGAUCAAUUAUCAAAAUCUCCAUAGGGAGCAAUUGUACUUUCAUCCAUAAGCAAGUAGACCGAUGCCUGCAUCUACUACUAUUACUCCACCCAUCAACCACUAUCCAACAUGCAUCUAGAGUAUUAAGUAAUAACAAAGUAAUGCUUGAAGGAGGAAGACAUGACGUAGGCAAGGUAAAUCUAAUUAAUAUGAAUGAAUCCCAUCGUUUUACCCUUAAUGGCAGCAAUACAAUAUAUGUCAUGUCCCUUUCUGUCACUCGGAUUGAGCACCGCAAGAUUGAACCCACUACAAUGAACCUCUCCCACUGAAGAUAAAUCAAUCUAGUUGGCCAAACCAAACUGAUAGACCGGAGAUACUUAUGAAGCUAUAAUCAUGCAUAUAUGAAUUCAGAUAAGACUCAAAUAUUUAUUCAGGAAUAAUCUGAACAUAAACUUACAAUUCAUCGGAUCCCAACAAACGCACCACAAAAAGUGAUUACGUAAGAUAAAUCACCAUGGGAAUAGCAAUGAUCUUGGCAAUGAUGAACAUAGAGAGAGAUAACCAUCUAGGUACUAACUACGAACCCGUAGGUUUGUGGUGAAUUACUCACACAUCACCAUGGUAGCAGCAAGGUUAAUGUAGAGGACCUCCAUGAUCGAACCCCUCUGGUAGGGCACUGGAAUAGGGCUCCACAUGGGCACACAUCGGAACGUAGACUUGCAGUAGUGAAAAAAGUAUUUCGGGAGGCUCUCGAGGGUUUUCAGGAUAUAUGAGAAUUUAUAGAGAAGAAAUCAUGACCAGGAGAGCUAGGAGGUGGCCCAAAGCCAUCAGGGCGUGACCACCCCCCUAGGCGCGCCUUGCUGGGUUGGUGGCACCUCGUGUGCCCUCCGGUCUUCCUUCGAAGCUUACAGGUCUUAUUUUUGUCCAAAAAAAUCUUCAAAAGGUUUUUGGCUUUUUAGACUUUGUUUGGUACAGUAUUCCUGAAUGUCCAAAAAAUGCAGAAAAUAACAAGUGACACUUGGCACUGGGUUAAUAGGUUAGUGCUCAAAAAUAAUGUAAAACAAGUAAAUGCUUUAAAGAUAUCCUAGAAUGAUAAUAUAAUAGCAUGGAACAGUAAAAAAUUGUAGAUAGGUUGGAGAUGUAUUAACAUCCCCAAGCUUAAUUCCUGCUCAUCGUCGAGUAGGUAACUGAUAAAAAUAGAAUUUUUGAUGUGACAUGCUACCCAAAAUGUAAUAUUUUUCAGGUAUAAUCAUUGAGAAAUGAUGAAUCAACAAACAUCAACAUAGUAAUAUCCAUAAGCAUAAGUAACACAAUCAUCAACUUUUAAAAUAUACGAUUCUUAAAGAAUGUUCACCCCACAUUCAUUUUAUCAUAUUAGCAUGGCAUGGAUGCGUAUUCACUACAUAAAUAAAAAUGUCAAGAACCACAGAGUUAAGCCAAGCAAUUGGAUGGUUCUUUUAAUGCGCUUAAACAUUUUAUACCUCACUCAAUACAUGAGAGUGAAUCAUGGACAUAGCAUAUAGGUGGAACAGAAUAUGGUGGUAUGUUUCAAAGGGGUAAAAGUGGAAAAGAACCUCUCGCACCAACUAGGCGGAUCAACGUGCUAUGGAGAUGCCCAUCAUUCAUAUCAAUGCAAGGAGUAGGGAUUGCCAUGCAACAGAUGCACUAGAGCUAUAAGUGUAUGAAAGCUCAGUUAAAGCUAAGUGUGUGUGCAUCCAACUUGCUUGCUCAUGAAGACCUCGGGAAUUUGAGAAAGCCCGUCAUCGAAAUAUAAAAGCCAAGUUCUAUAAUGAAAAAUUCCCACUAGCAUAUGAAAAUGAAAAAACAUGAGACUCUCUAUAUAAAAACAUGGUGCUACUUCGAAGCACAAGUGUGGAAAAAGAGGUAGUAGCACCGUUCCUUCUCUAUUUUCUCUCAUUUAUUUUUUCCUUUUUUCUUUCUUUUUUGUUUUUCUUUUUAUUCUUCUUCUUUUUUGUUUUAUUUCCUUCUUUUUUUUGUCCGGAGUCUCAUCCCGACUUGUAGGGGAAUCAUUGUCUCCAUCAUCAUUUCCUUACAGAGACAAUGCUCUAAUAAUGAAAAACAUCACACUUCUAUUUACUUACAACUCGAUAUGAAAAACUACUAAACAAGAUGACUCCAUAUGAAUUACUCUGGCAGUGUACCAGGAUGUGCAAUGAUCCAGCACAACAUGUAAACAAUGAUGAACAGUGGCUUUGCCACAAAUGCUAUGUGAGCUACAUGAUCAUGGAAAGCAAUACGAUUAUGAACACACAAGUCACGAGACAUAUAUAACGGUGGAAGUUGCAUGGUAAUAUAUCUCGGAAUGGCUAUGGAAAUGCCAUGAUAGGUAGGUAUGGUGGCUGUUUUGAGGAAGAUAUAAGGUGGCUUAUGUGCAACAGAGCCUAUCAUGUCAUGGGGUUUGGAUUCACCCACUAGUAGAAAAGAGGGCUUUGGUUCAGGGCCUACAAUCCCAUUAGUCCCUGUUCACCCACGAACCGGGACCUAUGUCACACCCUGUUUUUACUACCACUUUCUCUGUAAUGCAAAAAUAUGAGCUUGUUAAAACUUUUUCAAAACUAAUGAUGUAGUGCCAUGUUUGUCAUUGAAUGACUUGUGUGAUGAUCAUGUGAUGAUAAAACCCCUUCUAUCCAGAUUGGAGUUAGAGCAACUCUACAUAGCAAAGUUUGUCCUAUGAUGCUAAAACUUUGCAGGAGUGCCUAAUACCUCAAAUGAGGGUUCCACACCAAAAUUGGGAUUUGUGGGACUUAGUUUGCCCACACUCUAUUUGGAAGGGACAAAUCUGGUCAAAUAGUGGUGUUUUCAAGUUUACAAAAGCUAAACUUGCCCAGUGGAGCUCAAACCUGGUGAAACCCCAUGUUUUAGCACCAAACCCAAACCUGUUAAGUUGCAACACGAGUGGUGGGGUGAAGCCCCCUCAAACCACUAUCGACCACCUUCUGACAGAUGGGUAAAAGCCCUCUUAGCCACAGCUAAACCCAACCCCUUUGCUCCAAACUCAUAGAUUAGGUGGCCAGUAUCAAUUCCCAACCCCAGUCAACUGCCCGCUCACUGGUUCAAAGUAGAAAUGCCAAAAACCCCAAUCUAAGAUUUAGUUCAAGGCUGACAGCACCAAUUUUCCUUGUCUCCCUUGACCAGCCGAAGCUCCCACGAGACCCAAAUGGCUAGCCUCACUCCCAGCCAGUGCCAGGACAUGCUAGACACGUCCAAAGUACCUCAGAGCGCACCAGCAUGCUGUGGCAUGCCAAAACUAUGCUCUAGGCGCGCUACAGGAAGCCACCAAGGUGGGGGCGACACUCUCGGCCAGUUCCAGCCUCCCCCGAGGUGUCCAACCUCUUCCCCGACAACCCCUCUGCGUCGAGCAACCCUCAGGGACACUCCUCUCCCGUGCUAGAGCUCGUGCGAUACAUGCCCCCGCGCACCAGAACCGACCAAGGUUGCGCGAAAACGGAUGCUCGACUCCUCUCUCUCCCCCUCUGUUGCAGAUGGUUCUGGCAGUCCAAAACCACGUCCUGAGACCGUGGUUUCGACCCCAGGUCCUCCCUGCACCCCCAUGCGUGACACGGUGAGUCACCGGCGCUCCCGAAUUGGCUCACCGGAGGGAAGCUCAAGCUGGAGAUCACCACGACCAGCAAGACGAUGUUCCACCGCCACCGCCUACUCCCGAAAGCUUGACUAUGGCUCAGUUCCUUCAAGCUCUUCGAGAGGAACGUGAAGCCAACAAUGCCGCUAUUCGGCAGAGUGGGAAUGGCAAUGGUCGCUCUACUCUCUCUGAGUUCAUGCGAACUACGCCACCCAUAUUCACGGAGAUGACUAAACAAUUGGAUGCCGAUGACUGGAUCCAUACUAUCGAAGACCUCCUCGCGCUGGUCAAACACACUGAUGAUCAUGAGAAGGUCAUCUAUGCUUCUCACUGUCUCGGUGGGACAUCCAGAGCUUGCUGGGAUGGAUUUUAGAUCAUGCGAGCAGGGCAAGUCAUCACUUGGGCUGUGUUCAAAGAUGGAUUCCGCGCUGCUCACAUUCCUCGUGGAAUGAUGACCAUUAAGAAGUGAGAAUUUUGAGCCUUAAGGCAAGGUAGUGGAUCCGUCAAGGAAUAUUUGCAGAAGUUCAACCUCCUGUCAAGAUACGCACCUGAAGACGUCAACACUGAGGCCGCCAAAGUGGAACGCUUUAUGGAAGGACUGCAGCAGUCACUUCAGUAUCAGCUGGUUGUUUGUGAAUGCCGGAUCUUCAGCGAUCUGGUUAACAAGGCCCUUAUGUUGGAAGACAAGCGUCGUGCUAUGGACGACACCUGUAAGCGCAAGCUAAUGGGUAGUGGAGGACCGAGUAACCCGAAGCCACACCCAUGGCAGUCAGCUUCAGCAAGACCCAAUUAUCAGUAGCAGCAAUACAAGUAUCCAACAUUUCACCAGAACUACCAGCCUCAGCAACAAGUCAACACCAAGCCAGCAAUCAAUCCACCGAACAACAGUGGAGUCAAGACCAAUCUUCCAGCACAAGCUACCUGUUUUGGAUGUGGGCAAACAGGGCACUAUUCCAGGCAGUGUCCCAAUAAGAACCCAGACGCACCGCGCCCCAAUGCGCCAUAUCAAGGCCAAGGAGCACCAGGCGGGAACCAGGCUCCCCGCAAUCUGCACUAUCACAACAAGAGGCGGAUUAAUCAUAUCUCCGCAGAAGAGGCACAGGAAGACCCGAACUGCAUUCUAGGUACGUUCCUUGUCAACUCCACCCCAGCAACAGUAUUGUUUGAUUGUGGUGCUUCGCAUUCUUUCGUUACACAAAGAUUUGCGGAAAAAUGUGGUUUAAAACCUACCCUGCUCCGCGGGAAAAUGGCAAUUCAAACCCCGGGAGCAGUAUUGAGGACCAUCCUAGGAUGUAGGAAGGUCGGGGUAGUUAUCAAUGGGACGAGCUUCUCAGCGGAUCUCAUUGUGUUGAAGUCACAAGGCCUAGAAGUAAUUAUCUGCAUGGAUUGGUUGGCCAAGUAUGAAAGCAUCUUGGACUGUGCCAACAGGGCCAUUACCAUGAAAAGCGACCAAGGGGUCAAAGUCAAGUAUGUCUCUGAGCCAGUACCCGCUCGAGUACCACGGGUUAACAACCCGUCAGAGGUAGAACUCGAUCGAGUGCCAAUAGUCUGUGAGUACCCGGACGUCUUUCCUGAUGAGCUACCGGGAAUGCCUCCUGACCGAGACAUCGAGUUCAUCAUUGAGCUCAUUCCCGGAUCAAGGCCUAUCUAUAAGAAGCCUUACAUGAUGGGAUCCGAAGAGCUAGCAGAGUUGAAGAAGCAGCUGGAUGAGCAACUCAGGAAAGGGUUUAUUCGUCCGAGUGCGUCACCUUGGGGAUCACCGGUUCUCUUCGUGUCCAAGAAGGAUGGGACUAUCAGACUAUGCGUCGAUUACCGUUCUCUCAAUGAGGUCACAAUCAAGAACAAGUAUCCACUCCCCAAGAUUGAAGAUUUGUUUGAUCAGCUAAAUGGAGCUAAGAUAUUUUCCAAGUUCGACCUCCGAUGUGGAUAUUACCAAUUGAAGAUCCGCCCCGAAGACAUGCCGAAGACUGUGUUCUUGACCCGGUACGGUCUAUACGAAUGCACUGUCAUGUCUUUUGGAUUAAGUAAUGCCCCAGCUUACUUCAUGUACCUCAUGAACAAGGUCUUCAUGGAAUACCUGGACAAGUUUGUCGUCGUAUUCAUUGAUGACAUAUUAAUCUUUUCCAAGUCCGAAGAAGAGCAUGAACAACACUUGAGGUUAGUGUUGGAAAAGCUUCGAGAGCACCAACUUUAUGCCAAGUUCAGCAAGUGUCAAUUCUGGCAGAACGAAGUUGGAUUCUUGGGUCAUACCAUGACAGCAAGUGGAUUGGCAGUUGAUCCCUCCAAGAUUACUACGGUAACCAACUAGGAAUCGCCAAUUGAUGUGAAGGAAGUCAUGAGUUUUCUCGGACUCGCGGGAUAUUACCGCAAGUUUGUAGAAGGAUUCUCCCGCAUUGCUCGACCUAUGACUCAGCUUUUAAGAAGGGCAAGAAGUUCGAAUGGAUGCCGGAGUGUGAAGCAAGCUUCCAAUAAUUGAAGAAGAGAUUAACUACCGCCCCGGUAUAGGCCACUCCAGAUAUCACCAAGGAGUUCGUGAUAUAUUGUGAUGCCUCCAGGACCGGGCUCGGUGGGGUUGUAAUGCAGGAUGGCAGAGUUGUGGCAUAUCUGUCACGACAACUGCGCCCACAUGAGGAUAACUAUGCCACCCGUGAUCUCGAGUUGGCAGCAGUAGUGCAUGCCCUAAAGACAUGGCGACAUUACCUUUUGGGGAAACGACGUGAAAUAUACACUGACCACAAAACUUUGACGUAUAUCUUCACCCAAAGGGAAUUUAAUAUGAGGCAACGAAGAUGGUUGGAGUUAAUCAAAGACUACAACCUCAGCAUUCAAUACCACCCUGGUAAGGCCAAUGUAGUGGCUGCUGCCUUAAGCCGGAAGACCAGCACCUUGAACGUCAUGCUCAAGGGAAGACAACCUGCCUUGUAUGAGGAAUUGGAGAACUUUGGAUUGGAGCUAGUAGAAUCAGGAUUCCUAGCUAACCUCGAAGCCAAACCAACGCUGGAGGAUGAUAUCAAGGAAGACCAGAAGGGUCAUAAGAGCAUUGUAGGCAUCACGAAGAAGAUUCAAGAAGGCAAGGCCCCAGGAUUCUCGGUGGAUGAACAAGGAGUAGUGUGGUUUGGGAAACGUUUAUGCAUACCCAACAAGGCUGAACUCAAGGACCUGAUCCUAUAGGAAGCACAUGAUACACCCUACUCUAUUCACCACGGUGGUACCAAGAUGUAACAAGAUCUCCGAGAAAGAUUCUGGUGGCAUGGCAUGAAGAGGGAAAUAGCAUCUUAUGUUGCCAAGUGCGACGUAUGCCAGCGAGUCAAGGCUGAGCAUCAGCAACCUGCUGGACUGCUACAACCACUUCAAGUGCCGGAAUGGGAGUGGGAUAAAGUCGACAUGGGUUUCAUCACUGGAUUGCCCAGGUCUAGCAAAGGGCACAACUCCAUAUGGGUCAUCGUCGACCACCUGACCAAGGUGGCCCAUUUCAUUCCAAUGAACAGUAAGUACGAUAGAAACCAAUUGGCCAGUCUGUCUAUCCAUCGUGUCGUGAGCCUUCACGGAGUUCCCAAGGAGAUUGUAUUUGACCGAGGAACGCAGUUCACCUCAAGAUUUUGGAAGAAGUUCCAAGAAGCCCUCGGAACCAAGCUCUCUUUUAGCACCGCUUUCCACCCACAAACGGGCGGACAAACGGAAAGAGUGAAUCAGAUACUCGAAGAUAUGCUCCGCGCUUGCGUCUUGGCACAUGGUGCGAAAUGGGAAGACUGUCUGCCGUUUGCUGAGUUUUCAUACAACAAUAGCUACAGGUCCAGUCUCCAAACGGCCCCAUUUGUAGUGUUGCAUGGACGAAAGUGACGCACCCCGCUCAACUGGUUCGAAACCGGUGAAGGGCUGAUUUUCGAGCCGGAAGUUUUGCACAAGGCAGCAGAGAAGGUGCAACUUGUCCGAGAAAAUCUAAAGGCAGCCAAGUCGCGACAAAAGAGCUAUGCGGAUUCUUGCUGCAGGGACGUGGAGUUCAUUCCCGGAGACCAGGUGUACCUCCGUGUCACACCCCUCAAAGGAACCAAGCGUUUCCAUGUGAAAGGGAAACUCGCUCCAAGGUUCAUUAGACCUUUUAUGAUCACGGCAAGGCAUGGCAAAGUUGCUUAUCAGUUGGAACUACCUCCGAAACUUUCGGGUGUGCACAACGUCUUCCACGUGUCACAACUUUGAAAGUGUCUUUGUUAGAGCAUAUAUCUCCAUAUGUGGUUUUGGUAAUUGAUGACAAUUCCUAUGGAAUAAUGGUUGCCUUAAGUUACAUUUAGAGGAUUUGUCCAUAGGCACUUCUUGAAGUCCAUCUGUUGGGUUCAAGGAGUUUAUAUGAUGACCAAGAUGGUAUUCAAGGUAUUAUCCAAAGAAUGGUCAUAGAGACACAUGGUUGAUCAAGAUCUCAGACAAAGAGUAAAUCAAGAUGAUCAACACACAAAGCGUACAAGAUGUACCGAGAGGGAUCAAGUGAUCCCAUGGUACGGUAAGCAUUAUCCAUUACGUGUUUGUGUACUAACCCAUGGUCUUCGUGAGAGUUCUAUAUGGUGGUUAGGUGUGUUUCCAUGGGCUUGCGUCAAAGGGAAGAUCUCAUACAACCCAUGGAAUAUGACGUCAAGUUGUGAUCGUCAUCAAGAUUGCGAUGUGCAACUUCAAGUGGAUCAGCACGAAGAUAUCAUGCUUGAAGCUUGCCGUCCAUUGUGGUGGCAAUGGACUUGUGAAGAUAUGCUGAAGAGUGGCUCACCCAUAGUGAAUAUGCGGGAGCAAUCAACUAGUCUUCAUCAAGCCAACGCAAUCAAGAAAGGUGGUCCGUCUUGAGGAAGCCAAGAUCAUCAUCAUCUAGCUCAAGAGGACGAGGUGCAAGGUAUAGGUUUGCCCUUGAUAGGUUUUCUGGUUAGGAUAGAUUGCUGUACUAUCAAGGGGGGCUCUCAAGUGAGUAGCUUGAUCGUAUCGUUCGUUGAGAGCUCAAACCAUUUGAAUCCUUGCAUCAUACUUCUUGGUUCUUGUUUGGUGUUUCUCUUUGUGAGUUUUAGAGCUUAUGGUCAUCUUCGUGACAAGCUCGAGUUCAUCGAAAACGGAGUCCAUAUGCAUCUACUAUGAUGUUUUCGAUGUUGGAGUUUUUGCCGGUUCUUCAUUCAUAUAGGACUCACAUCUCUAUAUCAUUGGCAUUUUCAUAUCUGCAUGAUUUGGAUAGCUCUUGUCGUCCUGAAUCCAACAAGCUUGGGUUUGCUCGAUUCGGAGCUCGUAUGCGAAAGUUAUGGCUGUUUCAGUGGCGAGCGGUAGUACCGCUGGACCUAGCGGUAGUACCGCUAGAGUUGGCGGUAGCACCGCUAUCCCAGCGGUAGUACUGCCCCUGGCCAGCGGUAGUACCGCUCCAAGUUUUUAGUACCGUCAUCUUUGCGGUUGUACUACGUCGGACAUUUUUGCGAAGACUUUCUUGGCGGUGGUUGGCCCGGUAGUAUCUUUGCGCUACCAUGGGCUCAGUGGUAGUACCGCUGCAGCCAGCGGUAGUACCGCUGGAAGGUCAGCGGUAGUACCGCUGCAGCCAGCGGUAGUACCGCUNNNNNNNNNNNNNNNNNNNNNNNNNNNNNNNNNNNNNNNNNNNNNNNNNNNNNNNNNNNNNNNNNNNNNNNNNNNNNNNNNNNNNNNNNNNNNNNNNNNNNNNNNNNNNNNNNNNNNNNNNNNNNNNNNNNNNNNNNNNNNNNNNNNNNNNNNNNNNNNNNNNNNNNNNNNNNNNNNNNNNNNNNNNNNNNNNNNNNNNNNNNNNNNNNNNNNNNNNNNNNNNNNNNNNNNNNNNNNNNNNNNNNNNNNNNNNNNNNNNNNNNNNNNNNNNNNNNNNNNNNNNNNNNNNUGCAGCCAGCGGUAGUACCGCUCGGCUCGGGCUGUAAGUGGGGGUAACGGUCUGAUUCCUUCCCCCACUAUAUAAAGGGGGUCUUCUUCCCCCUUGGCCUUAUCUAUCCGUUGAGCUCUUGUUCUACCUCCAUUGUUGACAUUCUUAGAUCUUGCUAACUCUCAAUCCCUCCAAUGAUUCUUGCUUGUUCUUGAGGGAAAAGAGAGAGGAGAUCUAGAUCCACAUCUCCACCAAUCACUUUCUCCUCUAUGUGAGGGGAACCCCUUGGAUCUAGAUCUUGGAGUUCUUUGUGAGCUCCUUGUUCUUCCUCUCAUAUUUCUCCAUAGCUUUUGUUUUUGUGGAGGGAUUUGAGUGUGAGGGACUUGACCACUUCGUGUGUUCUUGCCAUUGCAUUAGUUGCAUCGGUUUGAGUUCUCCACGGUGAUACGUGGAAGUGAGAAGUUGAGAAGCUUACUACCUUUGGUACUUAGUACCCUAGAUAUUGUUCUUCGUGGAUGCUUUGGCAUCCUAGAAACUUGGUGGUGUGGCUUUGGCAUCCUAGAAACUUGGUGGUGUCUCGGAGCUCAACCAUUGUGGUGUGAAGCUCCGGGCAAGCGUCAGGGUCUCCAAUUAGGUUGUGGAGAUAGCCCCGAGCUAUUUGUACGGGUACCGGUAACCGCCCCCAAGAGUUGCCACGUGUACGGGUUCGGUGACCGCCCCCAAGGUUUGCCAUUUGUACGGGUUCGGUGACCGCCCUCAAGGGUCCCUUAGUGGAAUCACGACAUCUUGCAUUGUGCGAGGGCAUGAGGAGAUUACGGUGGCCUUAGUGGCAUCUUGGGGAGUAUUGUGCCUCCACACCGCUCCAACGGAGAUUAGCAUCCGCAAGGGUGUGAACUUCGGGAUACAUCAUCGUCUCCGCGUACCUCGGUUAUCUCUUACCCGAACCCUUUACUUAUGCACUUUACUUUGUGAUAGCCAUAUUGUCUCUUGUCAUAUAUCUUGCUAUCACUUAGUUGUUUAUCUUGCUUAGCAUAAGUUGUUGGUGCACAUAGGUGAGCCUAGUUGUUUGAGGUUUUGUGCUUGACAUAUUAAACGUUAGUUUUAUUCCGCAUUUGUUCAAGCCUAAACCUAAAUUAUUUUAAAGCGCCUAUUCACCCCCCUCUAGGCGACAUCCACGUCCUUUCAGUCUUCAAACGCCAAACUGUUCCGAUCCCUACAAGGGCAUUGACCACCAGGCCAUUGACCUUCAGCCGGAUCUCACCUACCGUCAGAAGCCGAUCCGCAUUCUGGGUGAAGCAGAGUGUUGCACCAGAAGGCGCACCAUCAAGUAUUUCAAGGUUCAGUGGAACAACCACACCCAUGCCGAAGCAACAUGGGAGCGUGAAGACUAUCUCUGAUCUGAGUUUCCGGACCUUUUUAGCACCUAGCUUAGGAAUCUCGGGGACGAGAUUCCUGUAAGGGGGAUAGGUCUGUCACACCCUGUUUUUACUACCACUUUCUCUGUAAUGCAAAAAUCUGAGCUUGUUAAAACUUUUUCAAAACUAAUGAUGUACUGUCAUGUUUGUCAUUGAUUGACUUGUGUGAAGAUCAUGUGAUGAUAAAACCCCUUUCACCCAGAUUGAAGUUAGAGCAACUCUACAUAGCAAAGUUUGUCCUAUGAUGCUGAAACUUUGCAGGAGUGCCUAAUACCUCAAAUGAGGGUUCCACACCAAAAAUGGGAUUUGGGGGACUUAGUUUGCCCACACUCUCUUUGGAAGGGACAAAUCCGGUCAAAUAGUGGUGUUUUCAAGUUUACAAAGCUAAACUUGCCCAAUGGAGCUCAAAAUUGGUGAAACCCCAUGUUUUAACACCAAACCCAAACCUGUUAAGUUGCAACAUCAGUGGUGGGGUGCAACCCCCUCAAACCACUGUCGAGCACCUUCUGACAGAUGGGUAAAAGCCCUCUUAGCCACAACUAAACCCAACCCCUUUGCUCCAAACUCAUAGAUUAUGUGGCCAGUAUCAAUGCCCAACCCGAGUCAACUGGCCCCUCACUGAUUCAAAGUAGAAAUGCCAAAAACCCCAAUCUAAGCUUCAGUUCAAGGAUGACAACACAAGUUUUCCUUGUCUCCCUUGACCAGCUAAAGCUCCCACGAGAACCAAACGGCUAGCCUCACUCCCAGCCAGUGUUAGGACAUUCUAGACACGUCCAAAGUACCUCAGAGCGCACGAGCAUGCCAUGGCCUGCCAAAAGUGCGCUCUGGGCACGCUACAGGAAGCUACCGAGGUGGGGGCGACACUCUCGGCCAGUUCCAGCCUCCCCCGAGGUGUCCAACCUAUUCCCCGACAACACCUCUGCAUCGAGCAACCCUGAGGGCCCCUCCUCUCCCGCGCUAGAGCUCGUGCGACGCGUGCCUGCGUGCACCAGAACCGGCCAAGGUUGCGCGGCCACGGAUGCUCGACUCCUCUCUCUUCCCCUUUGUUGCAGAUGGUUCUGGUAGUCCAACACCACGUCCCAAGACCGUGGUUUCGACCCCAGCUGCUCCCUGCACCCCCAUGCGUGCCACGGUGAGUCACCAGCACUCCCGAAUCGGCUUGACGUCGUGGGCCUAUUUAUAACCCUCCCCCUCGCUCCAGCACCCCUCAGACAGCUUCACCACGACCACUAGCACCUCCCAAGCCACCCCAUCAAACCAGCAGAGCCCUAGUGCUCGAGAUCGAUCGAGGCCCCUCCGCCUCGGAGCUUCGGUCGAUCUCCAACUACACAACGACUCCUGGGUCCCUCGACCCACCAAACUGAUCCCCUCGACCCCAGGAAGCUUUCCCCCAACUUCCCCGAGCAUUUCCGUGCCCCUAGAUACCUCCUCGACCACCUCCCGAAACUCCUCUGCCACGGCCUCCUCGUCGCCGGCGAAUGCUUGCCUCUUCGUCACUGUUCCGACCAUCACCAGGUAGGCGGAGUCAUGCCAAGCCCAUUUCUGUCCUCGUUGGGGCUUGAGAACAUCGGCAGCCUCACCCGCGUGCUCCUCCUCCUCUCUGGCUAGAGGUAGGAGGCGACCCGACAGGUGUGCCCCACCUAUCGGUGGCCCAGCUCCCUCCCCCGCGCUGCCCACAGCCACUGACCGCAGGGCCCCGCACGUCAGGUACAAACCUGACAGCGCGCGCGCCUGGGCAGGCUGUCGGCUGGCCUUGGGCCGACCCAGUUCCACGCCGAGCGAGUCCAGGGGCUUAGCCAUUUUUCUUUUGCUUUUAAAAUCUGGUUUCAAAGAUUAUUAUAAAAAUAUUUCAUUAGUGUAAAAUUAUAAUUUUUCCAGUGAUAUUCUUCUACAAAUAUGUAGUAUUUCAUAAGACCUUGCGAUGAAUUUUUCUACUACUAUUCUGUUUUACAAUAAUAAAAAGGACUAAAUUGAAUAGUUUUGCUUUGUUUGGUUGAUUUUAAAAAUCUUCCUUCAUUGGAAACAGAGGCAAAUAUUUUUCCAAAUAACAACUUAGACUUAUCAGUAAUAAAGAACAUUUUUAAAAUGAUUUUGUGAUCUAUUUUUGAGUGAGCUAUUUCUUAUUUAUUCUUUUGACGACGAUAGAAAAUCCGUGUGACGAGGGAAUCGGAGCGGACGACCUCGAAGACCCUAGAUAUCUAGCUGACCAAGGCAAGCAACCCUUUGACCAUGACUGAGCAUAUGGUAUAAUUGCAUGUUAAGAUAGCAAGUAUUUCCAUUACAUAGGAUCACAAUUGUCGGUAAAUCACUAAGGUGAUGUUACCAAUGGCUCCUUCACAGCACAUGUAUUGAGCUUGAUCCUACCCCUUCGAGGAUCACGCUAUUAUCAUGUUGACAAGUAAUGCUAGAAUAAAUAGCAUGAGCAUGUUGUUGGUAUAAAUCAAAUAUUUAUGAAAACCCGUCAGGUGCCACUAAUGCCCGAGGGUGAUGAUGAGUUAGGUGGCCACUUUUAGUGAAGUGGUGCACCGGGUAUUUUGAGUGAGUAUGGUUUCGGAAAUGGGAUUAGAUUUAUGAUGUGUCGACUGUCCCAACCUUACCAGUACGACCAAGUUACCUCUUAUGGGAUGGGGCUAUGUUGAAUACUCUGGUCAGUGCUAGCAAAGAGCCACAUUACUAGUGGCGGGAGUGAUGUGUGGUCACUCUCGUGAUGGGGUCGUGCCAGGUAGAACGACUGUGCCAUUUUUAUGAGUUCCAGGCACACCGUUGAUCCCCGCAUGGUUGAUCCUGUCCAAAGUCGAUGCUCGUAAGACGUACAACAUGUGGGCUGGGCACCAAUCGAGUGGACCUCUUUGUCUAGUAUCAUCAGGGGAAAGGCAUUGAUCGGGUACUUACCUCGGGUAUGUUAUAUACCGCGAGUCGUGGAUGACACGAAAGUUUCGCGGAUCUCGUGGGUCCAGCGUACUACCUCUGCAGAGUGUAAAACUAUUCGAAUACCCGUGUCCACGGCCAAGGACAGUUGGGUGGUGAUGCUUAAACUACAUCCAGUUAUUUCCGCAUAAACCAAGUGUGUGUGUGAGUUGUGCUAAAAAGGAAUUAUUAUGAAAGUAGCGAUAUGUCCAAGUUUGGUGACUUGGCAUAUAGGGUGAAACCGGAUGGUUCAGCCCUCGACAGAUAUAUUGAUAUCUGUAACCUGUUCUUCAAAAGUAAUUCUUUAACUUGAUGCAUAUUCAUGAUCAUUCCACCAAGAUGAAUUACACCAGAGGUGCAUGUUAUUGUUAUCCUUCACUUUCAAUGUUCAUAUCAUGGGCUGUUUGCGAGUACAUUCAAAGUACUCAUUGGCUUGCCACUGGUUAUAUUAUUGACCAGACAUGGAAGGACCGGAGUUUGGAGAUGAAUAUGUCUUCGGAGACGCCCCUGCGAACUAGGACACUUCCGAGUCAGAAUGCAUGUCGGUGUAGGCUUGAUGGCAUGGGCACCCGCUUAGCCCCUAUGAUUUCCGCUAUUAGUUGUAUCAGUAUGAUUUGGCCUUAGGCCCAACCUUGUGAACUUGACCAUUUGGUCAUAUGAUGUAAUAAUUCGAUACUCGGAUGUAAGACUCUUAUUAUUCAGUAUCUGUGUGUUCGGUGAGCAUUGAUCUCUGGGAUCACUGAGCAUGAUCAUUCGAUGAUCUCGACUUGUAAGUCGGGGUCCCCACAACCUAUGGUGUCAUUCGUCCCGGUUCGUGAGGCCAGGGCGCCGGCCGGGCAUCGUGGGCCAUUGGUCCCGGUUCGUGUCAACCCAUUGGUCCCGAUUCCAGACACGAACCGGGACCAAUAGGCCGGAACCGUUCGUAUCCCCCUUCAGUCCCGGUUGGUGGAUCAAACUGGGACCAUGUGGACCGUUCGUAUCCCCCUUUAGUCCCGGUUAGUCGUUCAAACCGGGACUAAGUGGUGGUGGCAACCAUUCGUAUCACCCUUUAGUCCCGGUUGGUGGCUCAACCCAGGACUAAAGGCCCAAACGGUUUGCCUCCCGCCUCGUUUCCAGCAAUGAAAAGCACAACUGAAGCAGAGUCUCUCGCCAUUCUGUGUUCUUCUCCUCUCUUGCUCUCCUCUCUUCUUCCUCUCUCCUUCCUCUCUUCUUCCCCUCUAUUAUUCCCUUCUCUUCUUCCACCAUGCCAACUCGCUUCGGAGAGGUGCUCGCACAUGGCAAGACCAAACUCGAUGUCGUGUCCACGAACGAUAGCAGGGAGGUGCCGCAUUUUCUUAGACAGUUGAAGGGAUGGCUUGACGCUGCGGUGGAGCAUGAUAAAUUCUUGGGGCUUGAUCUGGAGUACACAGCCGAUCAACAAGGUGUUGCCGUCAUCCAACUAUGUUUCAAACUCCACGUCUUGAUCUUCCAAUGGGCGAGGUAUGUUUUGAGGCUUUCUAUGAUCCAAGGUUAUGAAAAUUGCAUAUAUAUAGUGAUCUCUCUAGGUUCCAUUGGAUUGCAAUAUACAGUUUCUAUAUAUGUUCCAUUGGAUAGUUAAUUGAGGGUUUCUUUAUCAAUUCAUAGGAUAUGAAAAUUGCAUAGGAUAGGAAUAUAUGUUCCAUUCGAAUCCUAUAAAGAUCAAUUUCUCUUUAGUUGUAGUGAAACAAUUUUCUGCAGCGUUCUUUGAUCCAAGGUUAUGAAAAUUGCAUAUAGUGAUCUCUCUAGGUUCCAUUGGAUAGCAAUCUGCAGUUUCUAUAUAUGUUCCAUUGGAUAGUUAAUUGAGGGUUUCUUGAUCAAUGCAUAGGAUAUGAAAAUUGCAUAAGAUAGCAAUAUGUUCCAUUGGAAUCCUAUAAAGAUCAAUUUCUCUUUAGUUGUAAUGAAACAAUUUUCCUUGGCGUUCUUCGAUCCAAGGUUAUGAAAAUUGCAUAUAGUGAUCUCUCCAGGUUCCAUUGGAUAGUAAUAUGUAGUUUCUAUAUAUGUUCCAUUGGAUAGUUAAUUGAGGGUUUCUUGCAUAGGAUAGCAAUAUCUUCCAUUGGAAUCCUAUAAAGAUCAAUUUCUCUUUAGUUGUAGUGAAACAAUUUUCAUUGUUGCAUAAUUGCAAAACCGUGGGAGAAUAUUUAUGUUUGUCAUAGUUAAUUUACGGUUUCUUGAAAAUUCAUAAGAUAUGAAAAUUGCAUAGGAUAGAAAUAUGUUCCAUUUGAAUCCUAAAGAUAAUUUUCUCUUUAGUUGUAGUGAAACAUGUUUCCUUGUUGCAGCAGUAUGUAACCUUUGUUCCAUUUUAAUUUGUUGUUGUUGCAGUAGUGACAAGCAUUGUCUAGAACUCAUGGACUUCCUUCACAGCGGCAUAAGUUUUGCUAGCGUUGACAUAAGGAACGACAAGCUGAAGAUGAGGCACAACUUCAUUAUUGAGGUACUUGCUGAUUGCCACAUUGAUCUCCAACAGAAAUUCAGGCUUCAACAUCAUAGGACUUCGAUGGCUCAUAUGGCAGUCGCCUUGAUCGACGAGGAGUAUGCUGAUAUGAAGACCAAAUUCCCAAGGUCUCAGCACAGACAUUGGGAGAUGACCCCACUUGACCCUAUCAACUUUGAUUAUGCAGCAAAAGAUGCAUACGUUUCAUACGAGUUGUACCACAAGAUUCGAGUCAUCAACUAUGGCCAGCGUCACCUCACACGAGCUUGUUGACAUUCUGAUUCACACGAUUCAGAAGAGUAGUGUUCACAACAACGAACACUUGCAUAUAUAUCUGUGCUAGCUAUUAUUAUGUACUUUUUGGACGAGUAUUAUUAUGUACUGCUUGGACCAAUAUAUAUAUAUAUAUGUCUAGUUUCUAUUUGUGCCAUUAUAGUUUAGCCCUUUCUAACUUCAUUUUGCUACUUUUCAAGGUAUCAUGCAUUUUGACCACAUAUAUAUACACGAAGUGCAUCCAGUUUUUGUCUCAACCCUCUCAAUUUUUUUGCACAUGCUAUGUGCGUGAAAUGAUGAUACCAUGCCAACUUUCAACCUAUUCCGAGUUCAUUUGUAGUGAUUUUCAUUUUCGGGGUCAUUUAGCUCAAAAAUUUUAGUAAAUGCAUGAAAAAUACCAAAUGAACUUAAAAAGAGUUGAAAAUUGAUGAUGUGGCCUUGAAUGGUGCAUUUUGAACACACAAAAAGUCUUGAGUUCAAAUAAGUUCAAAAAAUGAAAUCCCUUUUGUAAGAGAUGAGUUUUCGCAAGAAACUCUGAUACUUCGAAAGAGAUUGUCCGAUUUGUAAAAGAAGUGAAUCCACUUUUUGCCGCAACCCUCUCAACUUUUUAGCACAUGCUAUGUGGGUGAAAUGAUGAUACCAUGGCAAUUUUCAACCUAUUCAGAGUUCAUUUGUAGUGCUUUUCAAUUUCUGGGUCAUUUAGCUCAGAAAAACCAGCAAAUGCAUGAAAAAUACCAAAUGAAAUCAGAAAGUGUUGAAAAUUGGUGAUGUGGCCUUGAAUGGUGCAUUUUGAACACACAAAAAGUCUUGAGUUGUCCCUUUUGUAAUUGAUGAGUUUUCGUAAGAAACCCUCAUAGUUUGAAAGAGAUUGUCCGAUUUAUACACGAAGUGUAUCCAAUUUUUGCCGCAACCCUCUCAAAUUUUUAGCACAUGCUAUGUGGGUGAAAUGAUGAUACCAUGCCAACUUUCAACCUAGUCAGAGUUCAUUUGUAGUGCUUUUCAAUUUUUGGGUCAUUUAGCUAUAAAAAAUC
RNAcentral lists this long non-coding RNA (25302 nucleotides) under Hordeum vulgare. RNAcentral's name for it is "long non-coding RNA (HVUL_LNC010824)". The record is from RNAcentral. Lineage: Eukaryota; Viridiplantae; Streptophyta; Magnoliopsida; Poales; Poaceae.